RNAcentral lists this ribosomal RNA (396 nucleotides) under uncultured bacterium. RNAcentral describes it as "partial 16S ribosomal RNA". It matches the Rfam family "Bacterial small subunit ribosomal RNA", at positions 523 to 918 of the family's 1533-position model. The record is from RNAcentral.
AUACGUAGGGAGCGAGCGUUGUCCGGAAUUACUGGGUGUAAAGGGCGUGUAGGCGGGAAAGCAAGUCAGAUGUGAAAUACCGGGGCUUAACUCCGGGGCUGCAUCUGAAACUGUUUUUCUUGAGUGUCGGAGAGGAAAGCGGAAUUCCUAGUGUAGCGGUGAAAUGCGUAGAUAUUAGGAGGAACACCAGUGGCGAAGGCGGCUUUCUGGACGACAACUGACGCUGAGGCGCGAAAGCGUGGGGAGCAAACAGGAUUAGAUACCCUGGUAGUCCACGCUGUAAACGAUGAAUACUAGGUGUGGGGGGACUGACCCCCUCCGUGCCGCAGUUAACACAAUAAGUAUUCCACCUGGGGAGUACGAUCGCAAGAUUGAAACUCAAAUGAAUUGACGGGG